Molecule: ribosomal RNA, 274 nt
Filed under: uncultured bacterium
Lineage: Bacteria
Description: partial 16S ribosomal RNA
Rfam family: Bacterial small subunit ribosomal RNA
Source: RNAcentral
AUACGGAGGAUCCAAGCGUUAUCCGGAAUCAUUGGGUUUAAAGGGUCCGUAGGCGGGCAAUUAAGUCAGAGGUGAAAGUUUGCGGCUCAACCGUAAAAUUGCCUUUGAAACUGGUUGUCUUGAAUUAUUAUGAAGUGGUUAGAAUAAGUAGUGUAGCGGUGAAAUGCAUAGAUAUUACUUAGAAUACCAAUUGCGAAGGCAGGUCACUAAUAAUAUAUUGACGCUGAUGGACGAAAGCGUGGGGAGCGAACAGGAUUAGAAACCCUAGUAGUCC